This 1388-nucleotide ribosomal RNA is filed under the name uncultured bacterium. RNAcentral describes it as "bacterial SSU rRNA". It matches the Rfam family "Bacterial small subunit ribosomal RNA", at positions 18 to 1394 of the family's 1533-position model. The record is from RNAcentral.
CCUGGCUCACGAUGAACGCUAGCUACAGGCUUAACACAUGCAAUGUCGAGGCGGCAGCGAUGGUACUUAGCGUUGCUAAGGCCGAUGGCGACCGGCGCACGGGUGAGUAACACGUAUCCAACCUGCCGUCUACUCUUGGACAGCCUUCUGAAAGGAAGAUUAAUACAAGAUGGCAUCAUGAGUCCGCAUGUUCACAUGAUUAAAGGUAUUCCGGUAGACGAUGGGGAUGCGUUCCAUUAGAUAGUAGGCGGGGUAACGGCCCACCUAGUCUUCGAUGGAUAGGGGUUCUGAGAGGAAGGUCCCCCACAUUGGAACUGAGACACGGUCCAAACUCCUACGGGAGGCAGCAGUGAGGAAUAUUGGUCAAUGGGCGAGAGCCUGAACCAGCCAAGUAGCGUGAAGGAUGACUGCCCUAUGGGUUGUAAACUUCUUUUAUAAAGGAAUAAAGUCGGGUAUGGAUACCCGUUUGCAUGUACUUUAUGAAUAAGGAUCGGCUAACUCCGUGCCAGCAGCCGCGGUAAUACGGAGGAUCCGAGCGUUAUCCGGAUUUAUUGCGUUUAAAGGGAGCGUAGAUGGAUGUUUAAGUCAGUUGUGAAACUUUGCGGCUCAACCGUAAAAAUUGCAGUUGAUACUGCAGAUCUUGAGUGCAGCUGACGCAGCCCGGAAUUCGUGGUGUAGCGGUGAAAUGCUUAGAUAUCACGAAGAACUCCGAUUGCGAAGGCAGCCUGCUAAGCUGCAACUGACAUUGAGGCUCGAAAGUGUGGGUAUCAAACAGGAUUAGAUACCCUGGUAGUCCACACGGUAAACGAUGAAUACUCGCUGUUUGCGAUAUACUGCAAGCGGCCAAGCGAAAGCGUUAAGUAUUCCACCUGGGGAGUACGCCGGCAACGGUGAAACUCAAAGGAAUUGACGGGGGCCCGCACAAGCGGAGGAACAUGUGGUUUAAUUCGAUGAUACGCGAGGAACCUUACCCGGGCUUAAAUUGCAGAUGAAUUACGGUGAAAGCCGUAAGCCGCAAGGCAUCUGUGAAGGUGCUGCAUGGUUGUCGUCAGCUCGUGCCGUGAGGUGUCGGCUUAAGUGCCAUAACGAGCGCAACCCUUGUUGUCAGUUACUAACAGGUUCCGCUGAGGACUCUGACAAGACUGCCAUCGUAAGAUGUGAGGAAGGUGGGGAUGACGUCAAAUCAGCACGGCCCUUACGUCCGGGGCUACACACGUGUUACAAUGGGGGGUACAGAGGGCCGCUACCACGCGAGUGGAUGCCAAUCCCCAAAACCUCUCUCAGUUCGGACUGGAGUCUGCAACCCGACUCCACGAAGCUGGAUUCGCUAGUAAUCGCGCAUCAGCCACGGCGCGGUGAAUACGUUCCCGGGCCUUGUACACACCGCC